GGCGGGGGGACUUGAGUCAGGUCAUUUUUGCCAGGGGUCACCUGCGAGCAGCUCUCUCUCUGAGGCUCCCCAGUGAUCUGGCUGUGACUUGCUCAGAGCUGGAGUGUAGUCUGAGGCUCCCCUUACUCCACCCCACUCUGUUUCUCUCCCUCCCUUCCCAGGACUUGGGCAGAUGCUCUGAAGGUUCUCACCACCUACUCCUGUCUCCUCUUCCUGUUAUUCUUUGCAGGCGCUUCCCCCAGGAAGCUUCUCAGCCUUUUCAUUCUAUCCUGGCAUCUGUUUCUCACAGGACUCAAGCCAACAUAUGCAACUUAAACCUUGAGAGCUGAUCCAUGGAGUUGUGGGUGCAAAGUGAAGAUCAAGCAUAAACAAGACAUUACAAUGGAAUCCAAGGUAGCAACACUUAAAAUUACAGGAAACACUUGUUAAUUGGCAUGGGAAGAUGUUUGUGAUAAAGUAAAUCAAGAAAUUACAUUAGUAUAUGUGUGUGUGCUUAGUCACUCAGUUGUGUCCGACUCUUUGUGACCCCAUGGACUACACCCCUCCAGGCUCCUCUGUCCAUGGGAUUUUCCAGGCAAGAUACUGGAAUGGGUUGCCAUUCCCUUCUCCAGGAGAACUUCCCAACCCAGGAAUCGAGCCCAGGCCUCCUGCGUUCCAGGCAGAUUCUUUACCAUCUGACCCACCAGGGCUAGCUCGCUAGCAUAUAUAGUGUAAAUAGUAUAAAGUGUAUAUUCCAAAUUUGUCUUAUGAUAUUUAAAUAUAAAAAAAUUUUAGAAGACUCUACCUCAAAAAGUUGUUUGCUUUGCAGAAGUCUUUGUUUUUGUCUUUUUUGCACAUUUGCAUUUUCAAAUUUUCUCAUAGUAAAAACUGUUUCAGCCUGGAAGAGGAAUACCAGAGAAUUUUGGGAAAUUCACGCAGGUCUAAGAUUCCAUCGAGCCUCAGGGCUGCUCCAGGAAGGGCUCCAUGUCCCAAUGGCUCUGGCUGUGUGUAUUUAUUACAGCUCUUUCAUUCAUUCAACAACAAUUUAUUAAGUCCUACCCUUCGCUGGUUCUGUUAAGUUCUGAGGAUUCUAGGAUAUGGAAGACACCAACAGUGGCCUCUCGAUAUCCAUUCUCCUGUUAAGAAAAUGCUGAUUUUGUUCAGGGCAGCAGCCUGUCUGGUUACAAACCGCAUGUCCCAGCCCUCCUUGCAGCUGGGAGUGGGCUGGCUCAAACUGUGGGCUCCUUGGCUCUUCAUCCUCUCCCCUCUCUGGAAAGUAGAUGGGGUGCUGGAGAGGAAGAGCCACCUUGGGACCCUGACAUGAACAUGUGGGACAAGGAUUAUACCAAAGACAUUGGAACAAAAAGCUUGAAAGAAUCAGUCAUUGGCAGCGUCAUCAAAUCGCUGAGAAGGAUCUCUAGAUUUCUUGUUCUGUGAGAGAAACAAACUCCUAGUCUGUUUAAAGCACUGUUUGGGUGGUUUCUGUAACUUGCAACUUUACAGAAUCCUAAGCGGUGCAAACAGAAUGAGCCAUAAGCCCCGCCCUGUGUGUGGGCAGAGAGCAGACGACCAAAAGGCAACCAGGCAAACAGUGCCGUCAGCAGGGCAGAGGAGAAACAUACCUGGCUUUCUGGGUGUGUGUAUCAAGGACAACCCACAAGAACUGGGGGGUCAGAAAGGAUUUCCUAGAAGAUGCAACACUUGGGAUAAGUCAUGAAAGGUAAGUGGGGAUUUAGGGAGUGAAAAGGAGGGAGAGAGUGUGAAUGAAUGGUUCUGGGCAGAGGCUGUGUAGAAUGGCUGGAGCAUAGAAAGAGAGCAAUGAUGCAGGAGAUGAGGAAAUGAAGUUGCGCAGUGGUGUGCGACUCUUUGCCAUCCCGUGGACUGUAUUACUCCCAG
Molecule: long non-coding RNA, 1875 nt
Organism: Bos indicus x Bos taurus (hybrid cattle)
Lineage: Eukaryota; Metazoa; Chordata; Mammalia; Artiodactyla; Bovidae
Source: Ensembl